This 497-nucleotide ribosomal RNA is filed under the name uncultured bacterium. Its description in RNAcentral is "partial 16S ribosomal RNA". It matches the Rfam family "Bacterial small subunit ribosomal RNA", at positions 28 to 507 of the family's 1533-position model. The record is from RNAcentral.
GAUGAACGCUGGCGGCGUGCCUAAUACAUGCAAGUCGAGCGAACGGAUGAGAAGCUUGCUUCUCUGAUGUUAGCGGCGGACGGGUGAGUAACACGUGGAUAACCUACCUAUAAGACUGGGAUAACUUCGGGAAACCGGAGCUUAUACCGGAUAAUAUUUUGAACCGCAUGGUUCAAAAGUGAAAGACGGUCUUGCUGUCACUUAUAGAUGGAUCCGCGCUGCAUUAGCUAGUUGGUAAGGUAACGGCUUACCAAGGCAACGAUGCAUAGCCGACCUGAGAGGGUGAUCGGCCACACUGGAACUGAGACACGGUCCAGACUCCUACGGGAGGCAGCAGUAGGGAAUCUUCCGCAAUGGGCGAAAGCCUUACGGAGCAACGCCGCGUGAGUGAUGAAGGUCUUCGGAUCGUAAAACUCCGUUAUUAGGGAAGAACAUAUGUGUAAGUAACUGUGCACAUCUUGACGGUACCUAAUCAGAAAGCCACGGCUAACUACGUG